AUUACCUACGGGAGGCAGCAGUGGGGGAUAUUGCACAAUGGGGGAAACCCUGAUGCAGCGACGCCGCGUGGGUGAAGAAGCGCCUCGGCGCGUAAAGCCCUGUCAGCAGGGAAGAAAAUGACGGUACCUGAAGAAGAAGCCCCGGCUAACUACGUGCCAGCAGCCGCGGUAAUACGUAGGGGGCAAGCGUUAUCCGGAUUUACUGGGUGUAAAGGGAGCGUAGACGGCAGCGCAAGUCUGGAGUGAAAUGCCGGGGCCCAACCCCGGAACUGCUCUGGAAACUGUGAAGAGGGAGAGCAGGAGCG
This 305-nucleotide ribosomal RNA is filed under the name uncultured bacterium. RNAcentral's name for it is "bacterial SSU rRNA". It matches the Rfam family "Bacterial small subunit ribosomal RNA", at positions 334 to 656 of the family's 1533-position model. The record is from RNAcentral.